AGGAUUUGAUUUAGGGUUUAGGAUUUGAUUUAGGGUUUAAAAUUUGAUUUAGGAUUUGGUUGGAAUUUAUUUAGGGUUUAGGAUUUGGUUAGGGUUUGAUUUAGGGUUUAGAGUUUGGAUUGGAAUUUGAUUAGGGUUUGAUUUAGGAUUUAGGAUUUGAUUUAGGAUUUAGGAUUUAGUUAGGAUUUGAUUUAGGAUUUAGAAUUUGAUUUAGGAUUUAGGAUUUAAUUAGGAUUUGAUUUAGGGUUUAGGGUUUGAUUAAGGUUUGAUUUAGAGUUUAAGAUUUGGUUAGGAUUUGAUUUAGAGUUUAGGAUUUGAAUUAGGAUUUGCUUAGGAUUUGGUUUAGGAUUUGGUUGGAAUUUGGUUUAAGGUUUGUUUAGGAUUUGAUUCACGAUUUAGGAUUUUAUUAGGAUUUAAGAUUCAAUUAGUUUUGGCCUAAAGUUUGAAUGAAAUUCAAUAGGAUUUUAACUAGAAUUAAAUUAAGAUUGAAUUUAGAUGUAUUUAAGUGAUAUUUGUGAUCUUUCUAAUAUUUCUUUAAGAAUUCUUAUUGUUUGUUUGAAAUUUCUUUGAGGUUUCUUUGAAUUUGAUUAAGCUUUCUUACUAUUAUUAU
RNAcentral lists this long non-coding RNA (610 nucleotides) under Physcomitrium patens. RNAcentral's name for it is "long non-coding RNA (PPAT_LNC014150)". The record is from RNAcentral. Lineage: Eukaryota; Viridiplantae; Streptophyta; Bryopsida; Funariales; Funariaceae.